Molecule: long non-coding RNA, 431 nt
Organism: Gallus gallus (chicken)
Lineage: Eukaryota; Metazoa; Chordata; Aves; Galliformes; Phasianidae
Source: Ensembl
CCUGGAGGCACUGGGGAUGGGAGGAUUUGAGGGCAGAGCCAUCAAUGGGGCAGUGCCUCCCCGCCGCAGUCCAUCAUCUCCAGGCUCUGCACUGCCCUCUCUUCGUUAUUGCACUGCUUGCAUUGCUGCAAGCUCCAGCUUAAGGCUCCCAUCAUUCCCUCCAUGGGUGCGCAGCACAUCUCGUCUCUGCUGUAGCUUCACUGCCCUGCACACCGUGUCCCCGGCGUGACGGUUGAACCGUGGUCCCAUUGAAGCUGGUGGGACUUACACCACGGAUGAGAUGUCCUUGGCUGGUGACCCCCGGCCACGCGGUGUCCCCUGCUGUCACAGGUGGGGAGAUCUGCUCCGCGUGGUCUUGCACAAAGCAUCACAAAUGGCUUCCACCACCCCUUCCCCAACACUGCGACCCUCCUUCCAGCAGCAGACCCAGC